GACAGAGGGUGCAAACGUUGUUCGGAAUUACUGGGCGUAAAGCGAGUGUAGGCGGUUUGGAAAGUCGGAUGUGAAAGCCCCAGGCUCAACCUGGGAAGUGCAUUCGAUACUCCCAAGCUAGAGUACUGGAGAGGUUGGUGGAAUUCUCGGUGUAGAGGUGAAAUUCGUAGAUAUCGAGAGGAACACCGGUGGCGAAGGCGGCCAACUGGACAGAUACUGACGCUGAGACUCGAAAGCGUGGGGAGCAAACAGG
This 253-nucleotide ribosomal RNA is filed under the name uncultured bacterium. RNAcentral's name for it is "partial 16S ribosomal RNA". It matches the Rfam family "Bacterial small subunit ribosomal RNA", at positions 524 to 776 of the family's 1533-position model. The record is from RNAcentral.